Molecule: long non-coding RNA, 671 nt
Organism: Oncorhynchus keta (chum salmon)
Lineage: Eukaryota; Metazoa; Chordata; Actinopteri; Salmoniformes; Salmonidae
Exons: 3
Source: RefSeq, a predicted model, not a curated record
AGUAGACUGUUUACCAGGUUGAUAUUAAUGAGUGGUAAUAUGUUGUAGUAGACUGUUUACCAGGUUGAUAUUAAUGAGUGGUAAUAUGUUGUAGUAGACUGUUUACCAGGUUGAUAUUAAUGAGUGGUAAUAUGUUGUAGUAGACUGUUUACCAGGUUGAUAUUAAUGAGUGGUAAUAUGUUGUAGUAGACUGUUUACCAGGUUGAUAUUAAUGAGUGGUAAUAUGUUGUAGUAGACUGUUUACCAGGUUGAUAUUAAUGAGUGGUAAUAUGUUGUAGUAGACUGUUUACCAGGUUGAUAUUAAUGAGUGGUAAUAUGUUGUAGUAGACUGUUUACCAGGUUGAUAUUAAUGAGUGGUAAUAUGUUGUAGUAGACUGUUUACCAGGUUGAUAUUAAUGAGUGGUAAUAUGUUGUAGUAGACUGUUUACCAGGUUGAUAUUAAUGAGUGGUAAUAUGUUGUAGUAGACUGUUUACCAGGUUGAUAUUAAUGAGUGGUAAUAUGUUGUAGUAGACUGUUUACCAGGUUGAUAUUAAUGAGUGGUAAUAUGUUGUAGUAGACUGUUUACCAGGUUGAUAUUAAUGAGUGGUAAUAUGUUGUAGUAGACUGUUUACCAGGUUGAUAUUAAUGAGUGGUAAUAUGUUGUAGCAGACUGUUUACCAGGUUGAUAUUA